Molecule: long non-coding RNA, 3747 nt
Organism: Cryptomeria japonica (Japanese cedar)
Lineage: Eukaryota; Viridiplantae; Streptophyta; Pinopsida; Cupressales; Cupressaceae
Exons: 3
Source: RefSeq, a predicted model, not a curated record
CAAUUCUAAGGGUUAAAACAUGCAAUCAAACUAAAAGCAAACAAAGCAUGCAUGGUGUUCAUUAACCUUUAAGAAAUUAAAUGUGCAACUACUUUAAAAAUCACAUGCAAGAUGUUUUAAUAAAAGUCUUUGACCGCGUCCUGCAUAAGAUUUGUUAGUAGUUUCAUUUUCAUGUCUUCGUCACACAUAACGCCAAGGUGCUGCACAGAGAAUCAGUACCAAAGAAAAACCAGAAUAUAAGAACAGAAUGAAGACAAAAUAAUUUGCAAGUAAAAACAUUGGUUUCACCUCUGUUUCUGGCCUUACACAGGCGCAGAAUGUCUCAACACAGGCGUAGAAUGCCUUGACACAGGGGCAAAAUGCCUUGACACAGGCACAAAUCUCUUUGACACAGGCGCAGAUCCCUCCUACACAGGCGCAAAAGUGUCCAGAAAGCCCUGAGUUGUCCUGUUUCUUGAUUUUUCACCUGCAAAUCAGCUUAAAAGCACUCAAAAACAUGGUUAGGAGGUUAGUUCAUGUCGGGUUCACCAGAAAAUGUAGCUAAAAAUAUUGUAAAACAUCAAAUACAUCAUAAGCUAUGCAACCACAAACAUAACCUAGUAUAUGAUAAUUCUAGCAAAACAUUCAAAAGAAUAAGGAAAUAAAAACACUAUUAUACUAUGCAAACCAUAUAUUUGAGCUCAUUCCUUGACCUCCAUUGUUUCUCUCUCACCUCCAAAUUAUUGUGGAUCUCACCUCCAAAAUGCAAGUGUAUGCAAGCAAGAUUAUAAUUCGAAAAAUGAUAGUGUAAGGAUACUAGAGACGUGGUUGAUUCUCUGAAAAUGUGGUUAGGUUGAUUAAUUGAUUGAUUGAAGAAAAUUAUCCAAUUUAUAGACAAAUUGGAGAGAGGACAAGAUUAGCAUGAAAUUGAUAUUAGAGGCAAUUGAUUUCAAAAAAUUGCAAAAUUGUGUUGAAGGAAGAAGGUUAUGACACCUUCUAUGUCAUGAAUUAUGACAUAUUGCCAAUGCAAAGGUUAGAGGACUAAAAACCUAUGACAUCUUGCUAUGCCAAUGGUAUGACGCAUGAGAAAUUCAUGCUUCCACCGAAGCACAAAAAUAUGGAGAGACUAGAGAGAAAUUGAUUAGGUGGAAAUUGAAUUUAGCAGAUUAGAAAAUGAAGUGGAAAUUAGGAAUUAGGAAAAUUAAAAAUGAUGAAAAUAGAAAUUAGGUGAAUUAAUUAAUAGGUUUUCAUCCAUUAAUUAAUUCAUGAAAGAGACCUAGGACUAAAUAAAUAGAUUUAUUAAACCCACAAAGAAUAAGAAAAAGGAUUAAAUGAACAAAUCAUAAAACCCUAGAAAUAAGAGGACAAGGAAUUAGGUCACGACAACAAGAAAUUAAUGUAGGUUCGAUCAUGAUUCUGAUUGACAAAGGACCAAUAUUGAUAAAUGAUUAAAAUUGGUUGACAAAAAUCAAUGACAAAUUGACCAAGAUUGACAAGGAGAUCAAAUUGAUAAACGCCAAUUGACAUGAUUGAAGAGGACAAGGACCGAUGACGAAUCGAUCGCAAAAUGACAAAAUUGGCAAGGACAAGGAUCGAUAACGAAUCGAUCACAAAAUGACGAAAUUGACAAGGACAAGGAUCGAUGACAAAUCGAUCGCAAAAUGACGAUAUUUGACAAGAACAAGGAUCGAUGACGAAUCGAUUGCAAAAUGACGAGAUUGACAAGGACUAGGAUCAUGACGAAUCGAUCGCAAAAUGACAAAAUUGACAAGGACAAGGAUCGACCAAAAUCAUGACUGAAGAUUGUUAUCGACAAGACCUAAUUUGAAAGCGAUAAAAAUGAGGAGUGCCAAAGAAGGACUCGAUGCUCGCAAAUGAUAAAGACCAAGUGCGCAACAUAGAAGAAAUGUUAAUGCGAUGCAAGAACCCUAAAAUAAGGCAAUGCACAAAUGUUAAAGUAUGACUCCACAAGCGUUGACCAUUUUUAGAUGUCUACAGAAACAAUUUGACCGAAACACAUAAAGAGUGUGCUAGACUGAUGAAAUUUAAAAAAUUGCCUUGUAUUGACAAGAUUUUGAAAAAAAAACUUUCCAGAGAUAUAUAAAAGAAAGAAAGAGAGCACACAUGAUAUUCUGUUGCUACUUCAAGUUCUUGUUGAACUAAACAAGUUAGUUCAUACCAUCGGUCCUCAACAAGAAUUUUUGAGUGACAAACUGAGUCCAAAGCUAACAUACUAACUACAAGAUGCAAGAUAUUGACUACUAUCGGUCUGCCCAAUUGGUGUCAUUAGUUAACUGAAAACUGCCCAUUUUUGUUUCCACUUGAGAUAAGGAAGAAAUAUUUUAUAUUUUGUGUUACAUAAGAUUUCUCCAAUAUCUUGCAUCUUUUAGUUGGUAUGCUAGCUUUGGACUUAGUUUGCCACUCAAAAAUUCUUGUUGAGGACUGAUGGUAUGAACUAACUUGUUUAGCUCAUAAAAAAUUUGGAUAGGAACAAAAUAUUAUGUGCUCUUUUAUAUAUUACAGGGAAUCUUUCUUUCGAAAAUUUUGUCAAUAGAAGACAAAUUUUUAAUUGUCAUCAGUCUCGUAAACUCUUUAUGUGUUUCAAUCAAAUUGCUUUCUUUCGGCGUGUUUGCCUUCUUCUAUCUAAUUUUGUGAACUUUAUACCAAAUUGAUUCCCUCAUCCAUGCUUACCUUGGAUGCCUUGGCGCUUAAAGGUUUGUGUUGCAGAAAGUAUGCAUUUGAGGCAGCUGCAAAAGUGAUGGAUUUGUGUGGUGGGCAGAAGGCUGUCCUCAAAAUUGAGUAUUAUAAUGAGGUCGCCAAUAGUUUGGGUCCAACUCUUGAGUUUGACACACUUAUUAAUCAUGAAUUAGAGAGUAAACUUGGAAUAUGGAGGACAAGUGCAGGGGACUUAGUGCAGGCUUCUCUGGGAUUAUUUCCUUGUCCUUAUUCACCUCAUACAGAUUCUUCCCGUGGAAGAGAAAACUUUAAAGUGACAGAGAAAUUCACUUUCUUGGGUUUCUAAUGGCUAAAGCUCUUCAAGAUGACUUCUGGACUUGCCACUUUCCAGAGCAUUUUAUAAGCCUCUUCUCGGGAAGGUGAGUUUUUCAAUGAUAAAGCCUUUCUUUCAAUUUAGGGUAUCAAUUGGAACUGACAAGUUUUUGGGCAUAAAGGAUAUUGAUUUAUAUGAUAUCAAGUACUUUGACAUGGAGGUUGGAACAAAAUUUUCAGAAAUGCAAGCUCUUGCAGCUCGAAGGCAAUACUUGGGAGUCAAUGGCAGAUUUUAAGAGCAUAGAAAUGUCAAGCUUACAUUACCAUAGUGCAAAAAUUGAAGACCUUUGUGUUGAUUUUACUCUUCCUGGUUUCCCUGACUACCCUCUCAAACAGGGGGAGCGGUAUUUUGUUUACGAUAUGGAGAAUAUAUUUCAUUGGUUGUGAAAGCAGGAAUCAUUCCACAAACGGAGGCCUUUUGAAAAGGGUAUAAUCAGGUGUUUUCCAUCUCGACAUUGCAAGUAUUUUCAGAAAAGGAUUUGGAAACUCUUCUAUGUGGUGUGCGUGACUUAUGGGAGUUAAGCAGAAAGUGGUUCAAUUGAUGUUUCGAAGAAUCCUACAUUCUAUAUUAAUGUUUAGUUACUAGACUUAACUUGUAAGAUGUUUUAGCAGGCUGAACUGCUAAGUGAUCACAUCUUGAAUUCGAUCGUGGUUAUAUCGGGUGAGUUCUAUUUCUUCUAAAAAUUCCCUAACAUAUAAGAAUUUCAAAACUAUUUGCAA